This is a long non-coding RNA of Cercocebus atys (sooty mangabey), 1141 nucleotides long. RefSeq lists it as uncharacterized. The transcript has 2 exons. Lineage: Eukaryota; Metazoa; Chordata; Mammalia; Primates; Cercopithecidae. The record is from RefSeq and is a predicted model, not a curated record.
CCAAAGUGCUGGGAUUACAGGCAUGAGCCACCACACCCGGCCAUGAAGAUAUUUUUCUAAACAUUACUUUACCUCUUUGUUAUUGAAGGUGACUUUUUCUGUCUUUAGCUGUCUUAUGAAAGUAUUCUUCAAAGAUGAGAAAUGAUUACGAGGUAUUUAUAAUUAACACUCAUUUUUAAAUUUUCAGGUCUCAGAAAGAUUCCAGCAGCUAAUGAAGCUCUUUGAAAAGUCAAAAUGCAGGUAGUUAAUGGUUACACUACAGGAGACUACUAAAAUAAAUGUUUGACACUGUAGUUGUGCAGUUAAUGGCCUGUUAGUCAUUGAAGAUGUGAAUAGUGGGUGAGAGACAUCCAGUUGAGUUCCUGCUUCAGUCACAGGUUGGAGGAUGGUUGCUCGAGCAGGCAUCUAAGGUGACCUCAUCCACAGGGACGUGCUCAGAGUGAAGCCUGCUGCAGUUCAGAUCAGCAUGGCAUCUCUCCUCAACCUUCUGAUUGCUGAUGAGCCUAAGAUAAGUUGCUGAAUUCCUGGGACUCUUAAUUGAUAUUGCAUACUACACAGAAGCUUCAAAUUCCUCAUGUUUUAAAUGAGCACUAGAGGGAGGUUUAUCACCUUUUUGAUUACCAGAUGAUAAUCUACAUUUGUAAUUACUCAGUGACUCUAAUUUCACAUCAGCAUGUUCAGCUUGUCCUAGUCAUCACUCUGAUUUGCUUAUCUGUUUUUGGUCAAAAUAUUUAUUUUUAAACACAUUAGAACUUAUAAAAAUGAAAGCAACAGUGAUGUAUUGAAAUCUUAGUUUUGAUAUUUUAAAGAAAUGACUUUGUAGAUUAAAAAAAUAGUUUUGUAGCAUUUUAAACUUAGUGACUAUUUAGUUCAAGUGUUCAACCAUUUUUUAUUUGCUUUUAUAAUUGCCUCUCCUUGUUUUGGUAUAUUGUAAAAUAAUUUAAAUAAUGUAUUUAUAAAUAUGUAUAAUGAUGAUGUAAAAUACUGUGUGUAUAUGUAUGUAUGUGUGUUUCUGUGUAUGCACACACAUAAAAUGGCUUUAUCUAGCCAAGGAUUUUUUUUUAUCUGUAUAAAACUUUUUGUAUAAAGUUUGCUUUCAAUAACAGUUAUGUAUAAUAAAACCAUGUAAAGUUUUGUUGUA